GACGAACGCUGGCGGCGUGCCUAAUACAUGCAAGUCGAACGAUAGCGACCGGUGCUUGCACUUGUCAAUCUAGUGGCUAACGUGUGAGUAACACGUGGUUAACCUGCCCAUCAGUGGGUGAUAACAUCCGGAAACGGAUGCUAAUACCGCAUAGUUCUUCGAGCCGCAUUGCUUUAUGUGGUAAAGAGGCUCAUUCUUCUGCUUAUGGUUGUACCCGCGGUUCAUUAGCUAGUUGGUGAGGUAACGGGUCACCAAGGCCGUGAUGCAUAGACGAACUGAGAGGGUGAUCGGACACAGUGGGACUGAGACACGGAACAAACGACUACGGGAGGCAGCAGUAGGGAAUAUUCCGCAAUGGACGAAAGACUGACGGAGCAAAGCCGCGUGAGAGAAGAAGGUUUUAGGAUCGUAAAACUCUGUUGUGAGAGAAGAACAAGUGCGAGAGUAACUGUGAGCGGAUUGACGGUAACUAAACAGAAAGCCACGGCUAACUACGUG
Molecule: ribosomal RNA, 498 nt
Filed under: uncultured bacterium
Lineage: Bacteria
Description: partial 16S ribosomal RNA
Rfam family: Bacterial small subunit ribosomal RNA
Source: RNAcentral